AUGGCUACCGCGAAAGCUCUAGCCACCAUGGCAAUCUUCCUGCUGGUGGCGCUCUCCACCUCCUACAUCGCAUCCUCACUUCGCCCGGGUCUCGGUGUCUGUCGUGCAAGUGGCUACCUUCCUGCUGGCAACUGUGAGAAGAGCAAUGACCCGGACUCUUGUGAGGACGGCAAGAGCACAAAGGCCGUCUUGACGCUCAACGGCUUUGAGAAGGGCAAGGACGGUGGCGGCCCAUCGGAGUGUGACAAUGCCUACCAUAGCGAUGAGGAGAUGGUUGUCGCGCUGUCCACCGGCUGGUUCAAGAACAUGGCCCGUUGCAGGCACUGUAUCAAGAUCACUGUCAAUGGCAACUCCGUGUACGCCAAGGUGGUGGACGAGUGCGACUCCAUGUAUGGCUGUGACGACGAUCACAACUACGAACCGCCAUGUACCAACAACAUAGUCGACGCCUCUCCAGCAGUGUGGAACGCGUUGGGGCUCGACCAGAAUGUCAGCAUGGAGGGCAUCACCUGGUUUGACGAGUGA
RNAcentral lists this ribosomal RNA (525 nucleotides) under Triticum aestivum (bread wheat). RNAcentral describes it as "partial small subunit ribosomal RNA". Lineage: Eukaryota; Viridiplantae; Streptophyta; Magnoliopsida; Poales; Poaceae. The record is from RNAcentral.